CACGUAGGGUGCGAGCGUUGUCCGGAAUUAUUGGGCGUAAAGAGCUCGUAGGCGGUGUGUCGCGUCGGCCGUGAAAUCCCGAGGCUCAACCUCGGGUCUGCAGUCGAUACGGGCGGACUGGAGUUCGGCAGGGGAGACUGGAAUUCCUGGUGUAGCGGUGAAAUGCGCAGAUAUCAGGAGGAACACCGGUGGCGAAGGCGGGUCUCUGGGCCGAUACUGACGCUGAGGAGCGAAAGCGUGGGGAGCGAACAGG
This 253-nucleotide ribosomal RNA is filed under the name uncultured bacterium. Its description in RNAcentral is "partial 16S ribosomal RNA". It matches the Rfam family "Bacterial small subunit ribosomal RNA", at positions 524 to 776 of the family's 1533-position model. The record is from RNAcentral.